Molecule: long non-coding RNA, 1447 nt
Organism: Beta vulgaris subsp. vulgaris (sugar beet)
Lineage: Eukaryota; Viridiplantae; Streptophyta; Magnoliopsida; Caryophyllales; Amaranthaceae
Exons: 3
Source: RefSeq, a predicted model, not a curated record
GUAGUGAGUUACGGGGACGUAACUUUUCUUUUAAGGGGGGAAGAAUGCGAUAGAAUUUCGCGCUUUCACCCUAAAGUAUGUUAAUUAUGUUGAUUAUGUUAGUUAUAUGCUAGUUAUGUGUGAAAAUUGCUUAUCUAUUGUGUGAACGUUAGAAAACGCUUGUGAAAUUUGGGACUUAGAAGUGCAAAAGAUCGUCGUUAAGACGGGCUACCUCAAAGUUUCGGGACGAAACUUCUUUUAAGGGGGGAAGCCUGUAAUACUCCGUAUUUUUAUACUAAUUUCGUACUAAUUAAGAAAAUAUAAAAGAAUUAAUAAAAAGGUAUUUUAAUUUUAUUUACAAGUUAAUAGGAAUAAAUUAUUAGUAAUAUGAAUUUGUUAGGAAUUUCCGGAAUUUUUAAAAAAAGAGUAACCUAAUCGACCUAGGGUUACUACCUUUUGGAAGGGAGUAAAAAAAGAAAAGGAGAGGGAAUUUCAGAAAACCCUAACCCUUUCUUCUCCCUCUCUCCCAGCCGACUUUUCUUCUUCCACUCUCUCUCCUCAGCCGAUUUUCAUACCCUUCUUCUCUCUCUUUCGAAUUUUUUCUUCUCCUCUCUCUCAGAUCUCUCUCUCUCGGGUUUCUCUCACUGUCUUUCUUCGUUGGCCUCGUGCGAAACAUUCCGACGAAGGUUUUGUGUGGUUCGAGCGGUGCGCAGGCGUCGUGGGUCGAGUGUGCGCGAGUGGUCGGGAGUCUGCCCGGGAGUUGGUGCGAGCGACGAGGUGGUUCGAGCGCGCGAGGGUUGGUGCUGCGCGUGGUUGGCUCGAGGCUCGUGCGAUUUCAGGCGAAGCCUUCGUCCGCGGGUUCGUGCGUGUGUGUGUGUGGUUCGAGUGCUGCGACGGGGGUGUCGCGGUGUUCGAGGGCUGCGCGCGAGAAAACCGGGGUCGCGUGUGUGAAGUUUGGGCGACAAAGACCGCACGGGUGUGUCGCGCGAAGUAGUAGCGUGCGUGUGCGUGACAGCGGAAGGCCACCGGAGUUCCGUCGCCGGAAUUUUGUGCCGGCGAAAGUCAGUGGUCCCAAUUUCAUAAGCGGCUCGUUCUAUUAAGUCAGCGAAAAUUCUCCGUUACAAGACUAGGUGUGCUGGUGUUGCUGCAUAUUCUCGAGCAUAUGGGGACUAGGCUUUGGUAUUUACAUUAAAGCAGUUUUAAAUAAGUAUUAUUGGUUUUUCUAAGACUUAUAUAAAUGGUUUGUGGUUUGAAGGAAAGGGGUCAUUGAUGAUUCCCGAGUUGUAUUUAUAUUUUAAUUCCGCUGCAUUUUAGUUUUCAAGAUGAUGUUUUAAGUUAUCGUUAACUCUUAUUAUGCCUUGCGUUCCAUCGCGGCGGUAACGCCCCCGAAGUCGACGCGACGUAGCAGUGGUAGACGCGUGUGGAUUUUGGGGGUGUUACAGUAGUCAUAUCUGAUAUUUUUUGUUAA